GCCAGGUGUGGUGGCACAUGCCUGUAGUCUCAGUUACUCGGGAGGCUGAGGCAGGAGGAUUGCUUGAGCCCAGGACUUUGGGGCUGCAGUGAGCCAAGAUUGCACCACUGCACUCCAGCCUGGGCAACACAGUGAGAUCCUGUCUCCA
RNAcentral lists this signal recognition particle RNA (148 nucleotides) under Chlorocebus sabaeus (green monkey). Its description in RNAcentral is "Metazoan signal recognition particle RNA". It matches the Rfam family "Metazoan signal recognition particle RNA". From Rfam's summary of the family: The signal recognition particle (SRP) is a universally conserved ribonucleoprotein. Lineage: Eukaryota; Metazoa; Chordata; Mammalia; Primates; Cercopithecidae. The record is from Rfam by way of RNAcentral.